This 232-nucleotide long non-coding RNA is filed under the name Elaeis guineensis (African oil palm). Its description in RNAcentral is "long non-coding RNA (EGUI_LNC026466)". Lineage: Eukaryota; Viridiplantae; Streptophyta; Magnoliopsida; Arecales; Arecaceae. The record is from RNAcentral.
GAAACCUUCUUAUAGAUACCAUUCUAAAGAUUAAGAUAGCCGUCAUGCAGUGAGCGUGAGGAAGUUGCCAAUUACCCAAACUAUUUUGGAGCACAAUGGUCCAAUCGGAAAAGAAGCUACCACGAGAACAACCAAAUCAGCAGAGGCAAAACUAUAUUAUUUACAACUUCAAAUCAACAGGCAUAAAAAUCGAACUGCCAUAAGAAUGAGUAUCUUGACAAGUUUCCUUGCA